RNAcentral lists this unclassified non-coding RNA (1493 nucleotides) under Centruroides sculpturatus (bark scorpion). Its description in RNAcentral is "solute carrier family 25 member 38-A-like, transcript variant X4". The record is from RNAcentral. Lineage: Eukaryota; Metazoa; Arthropoda; Arachnida; Scorpiones; Buthidae.
CGUUGCAUAAUAUUUACUAGAAAUUGCAUAAUGGAAGCGUAACGCGUAUUGCCGUCAAAUGUAGUUGUUUAAAAAUAAUUAUUUUCGUAUACAGCCACACUUUCGAACACGAGGUUAACACGUGGUAACUGGAUAUUUUAUGUUAACUUAGGGGAAUAAUUAUAAUUAAAUUGCGAUGGUGCAACGUCCUUCGUAUCUAUAUGUGACAUAUAACGAUUGCGAGACGAUGAGUAAAUACUUUUGAAUGAAAUAAUAACUGAUAUGCUGAAACGAGGGAGACAAAUAAAUUCGUCUGGAGAGUGACUUUACGCUAAUGUGUACUUAUAAUGUCCAGGAUUGGCUGGAUACAUAACAGUCUAGAAGACGAUUACACUUCCUCUUCAAAUUCUGUCAUGGAUUUAGUGCACGGCUAUCCUCUCCUGAAGUCGUUUCUUGCGGGAGCAUUGAGUGGAACUUGCUCAACUCUUCUCUUUCAACCUCUUGAUUUAGUUAAAACUAGGAUACAAAAUGCCUCUUCAAGAGGAUCACAUAAAGGAAUGAUGAGCCUCAUGAUACAAGUUGCCAAAGAUGAAAGACUUCUUGGUUUAUGGAGAGGAACAGUUCCUUCCAUAUCGAGGUGCAUUCCUGGUAUUGGGAUGUAUUUUUGUUCAUUACAUUGGAUCCAAACUUCUUUUAACCUUGGAAAUCCGUCUCCUAUCGAAGCAGUUUGCUGUGGAGUGAUGGCAAGGACCCUAGCUGGAUCGACGUUGCUUCCUUUCACAGUCAUUAAAACGCGAUUUGAGAGUGGAGUCUACCGGUACGGCAGUUUGACAGAAGCAUUAAAAGUAAUAUAUAGGACAGAAGGAACUCGAGGUUUAUUCAGUGGUUUAAUUCCAACUCUCUUUCGUGAUGCGCCAUUCUCUGGAAUAUAUCUUAUGUUUUAUACGCAGACAAAAACAUUAAUUCCCAAAGAUUGGAAAGAAGGAUCGAGUAAAGCUCCAGCUGAUUUUGGAUGUGGACUUGCAGCAGGAUUGUUAGCUUCUUUUGUUACUCAACCUCCAGAUGUAAUCAAAACACAAAUGCAAUUAUAUCCAAAAAAAUUUGGACGCUUAAAGUCAGCAAUAAUUUUUAUUUAUCAGGAAUACGGACUUUCUGGAUUUUUCAAAGGAAUAGUUCCUCGUAUCGUUCGCAGGUCGUUAAUGUCGGCAACUGCUUGGACCAUUUACGAACAAGUGACCAGGAAUAUGGGAUUGAAAUGAAAUGAAAGUGUGCCUUAGUAUUAUUUUUGAGUUUACAAGCAUUACAGUAGUUUGAAAUAAGUUUGCGCUCGAACUAUUAUCUAAAAGACGACGAUUACAAAAUAUUCUGGAUACAUAAUAUCUAAAUGUAAUUUCUUCUAUGAAGAAAGCUUGUCUCCAUAAAUGGAUUUCAUAAAUAAAUAAUAUCUAUAACAUUGUAGCACUCUACAACUACUAGCGCCGUAUCUGUGAUUGAAUAAAAUAUUGUUUUCUAAA